This 347-nucleotide long non-coding RNA is filed under the name Cricetulus griseus (Chinese hamster). RNAcentral's name for it is "lncRNA (ENSCGRG00015037942.1)". The record is from RNAcentral. Lineage: Eukaryota; Metazoa; Chordata; Mammalia; Rodentia; Cricetidae.
CCUGGCCUAGGCUGGGCUUCCUGUUAACAGGAUGCAGGUUCACACCACAGGUUCACAUUGCAGCUGGCUCCACCCCUGACCCAAAGGGACAUAGAUUCCUCUUUGGUGGGCACUCUGGAACUCCUUGGACUCAUUUGCAAGAGGACUCAGUCCAUUGUUUCUGGGUCAGAACAUCAUGACAAUCACUGGAGAAGGAGGAUGACCAGUCACACCAUGGCUGAUCAGAAAGCAGAGAAUAGAACUGCAGGAAGAGAACAGGGUAAGGUAACCCCCCUACUCAGACAUCCCUCCAGGACUCUACUUCCAUCAAAUAGGUCUACCUCCUACCUAUAAACACCUCUCAAUAG